This 406-nucleotide ribosomal RNA is filed under the name uncultured bacterium. RNAcentral describes it as "partial 16S ribosomal RNA". It matches the Rfam family "Bacterial small subunit ribosomal RNA", at positions 30 to 526 of the family's 1533-position model. The record is from RNAcentral.
AUUGAACGCUGGCGGCAGGCCUAACACAUGCAAGUCGAACGAGUGGCGGACGGGUGAGUAAUGUCUGGGAAACUGCCCGAUGGAGGGGGAUAACUACUGGAAACGGUAGCUAAUACCGCAUACCAUCGGAUGUGCCCAGAUGGGAUUAGCUAGUCGGUGGGGUAAUGGCUCACCUAGGCGACGAUCCCUAGCUGGUCUGAGAGGAUGACCAGCCACACUGGAACUGAGACACGGGCCAUACUCCGACGGGAGGCAGCAGUGUGGAAUAUUGAACAAGGGGCGCAAGCCUGAUGCAGCCAUGCCGCGUGUAUGAAGAAGGCCUUCGGGUUGUAAAGUACUUGCAGCGAGGAGGCGUGACUCGCAGAAGAAGCACCGGCUAACUCCGUGCCAGCAGCCGCGGUAAUAC